UACAGAGGUCUCAACCGUUGUUCGGAUUCAUUGGGCGUAAAGGGUGCGUAGGCGGCGGGGCAAGUCAGUUGUGAAAUCUCGGGGCUCAACCCCGAAACUGCACUUGAUACUGCCUUGCUCGAGUACUGGAGAGGAGACUGGAAUUUACGGUGUAGCAGUGAAAUGCGUAGAUAUCGUAAGGAAGACCAGUGGCGAAGGCGAGUCUCUGGACAGUUACUGACGCUGAGGCACGAAGGCCAGGGGAGCAAACGGG
RNAcentral lists this ribosomal RNA (253 nucleotides) under uncultured bacterium. RNAcentral's name for it is "partial 16S ribosomal RNA". It matches the Rfam family "Bacterial small subunit ribosomal RNA", at positions 524 to 776 of the family's 1533-position model. The record is from RNAcentral.